RNAcentral lists this small RNA (363 nucleotides) under Pongo abelii (Sumatran orangutan). RNAcentral's name for it is "sense intronic". The record is from RNAcentral. Lineage: Eukaryota; Metazoa; Chordata; Mammalia; Primates; Hominidae.
GGCUACAGUGGAAUGUCAUUUUUCAUUCUGAGGUGAAAAAGGCAGUGCCUUUAAUAGAAAAUACCUUUCCAGAGUAAAAUCUUAGGUGUAUUUCUUUAGUGCCAGUGUCUUAGAUGAUGGGCCCCUAGAAGUUGUCAACAUCUCUUCUUGAUUGGAGAAAGUGUUAAGCCCCAAAGUAGCUGGAGCAGUAUAUUUUCACCUUUUGACAAGAGGGCAGGAACUUGAUUACUUUGAGGGCUAUUCAACAGUUUCUAAAUUUAAUACUUUCCCAAUUAAAUUGAUCAUUGUUAGUUUUUUAUUUAGGGAAUCUGCAAAACUCCACUGAAAAUAAAUUAGUAGUAGAAAUUAUUCCUAAAUACCAAA